GAUGAACGCUGGCGGCGUGCUAACACAUGCAAGUCGAGCGAGAAGCUUAUGACAGAAUCUUCGGAUGAUGGAUUAAGUGGACAGCGGCGGACGGGUGAGUAACGCGUGGGUAACCUGCCCUAUACAGGGGGAUAGCAGUUGGAAACGACUAUUAAUACCCCAUAUUCUAUGUUUAUCGCAUGAUAGAUAUAGGAAAGAUUUAUCGGUAUAGGAUGGACCCGCGUCUGAUUAGCUAGUUGGUAAGGUAACGGCUUACCAAGGCGACGAUCAGUAGCCGACCUGAGAGGGUGAUCGGCCACACUGGAACUGAGACGCGGUCCAGACUCCUACGGGAGGCAGCAGUGGGGAAUAUUGCACAAUGGGGGGAACCCUGAUGCAGCAACGCCGCGUGAACGAUGAAGGUCUUCGGAUCGUAAAGUUCUUUUCUUGGGGAUGAAAUAAUGACAGUACUCAAGGAAUAAGCACCGGCUAACUACGUGCCAGCAGCCGCGGUAAUACGUAGGGUGCAAGCGUUAUCCGGAAUCACUGGGCGUAAAGGGUGCGUAGGCGGUAAAGCAAGUCAGAAGUGAAAGGCAAUAGCUCAACUAUUGUAAGCUUUUGAAACUGUUUUACUUGAAUUCAGGAGAGGUAAGUGGAAUUCCUAGUGUAGCGGUGAAAUGCGUAGAUAUUAGGAGGAACACCGGUGGCGAAGGCGACUUACUGGACUGAGAUUGCGCUGAUGCACGAAAGCGUGGGGAGCGAACAGG
RNAcentral lists this ribosomal RNA (746 nucleotides) under uncultured bacterium. RNAcentral's name for it is "bacterial SSU rRNA". It matches the Rfam family "Bacterial small subunit ribosomal RNA", at positions 28 to 776 of the family's 1533-position model. The record is from RNAcentral.